RNAcentral lists this ribosomal RNA (227 nucleotides) under uncultured bacterium. Its description in RNAcentral is "partial 16S ribosomal RNA". It matches the Rfam family "Bacterial small subunit ribosomal RNA", at positions 1274 to 1500 of the family's 1533-position model. The record is from RNAcentral.
AAAAAAUAAACGUCCCAGUUCGGAUUGCAGGCUGCAACCCGCCUGCAUGAAGCUGGAAUCGCUAGUAAUCGCGGAUCAGAAUGCCGCGGUGAAUACGUUCCCGGGUCUUGUACACACCGCCCGUCACACCAUGGGAGUCGGUAACGCCCGAAGUCAGUGACCCAACCGAGAGGAGGGAGCUGCCGAAGGCGGGACUGGUAACUGGGGUGAAGUCGUAACAAGGUACC